This 460-nucleotide ribosomal RNA is filed under the name uncultured bacterium. RNAcentral describes it as "partial 16S ribosomal RNA". It matches the Rfam family "Bacterial small subunit ribosomal RNA", at positions 338 to 795 of the family's 1533-position model. The record is from RNAcentral.
CCUACGGGAGACAGCAGUGAGGAAUAUUGGUCAAUGGGAGGAAUCCUGAACCAGCCAUGCCGCGUGCAGGACGACGGCUCUACGAGUUGUAAACUGCUUUUGUACCGGGGUAAAAUGCUCUACGAGUAGGGUUUUGAAAGUACGGUACGAAUAAGGAUCGGCUAACUCCGUGCCAGCAGCCGCGGUAAUACGGAGGAUCCGAGCGUUAUCCGGAUUCAUUGGGUUUAAAGGGUGCGUAGGUUGUUUUAUAAGUUAGCGGUGAAAUACCGAUGCUCAACAUCGGGGCUGCCACUGAUACUGUAGGACUAGAGAUCGGAUGCAGCAGGCGGAAUAUGUAGUGUAGCGGUGAAAUGCAUAGAUAUUACACAGAACACCGAUUGCGAAGGCAGCUUGCUAGGCCGGAUCUGACACUGAUGCACGAAAGCGUGGGGAGCGAACAGGAUUAGAUACCCGUGUAGUC